This 247-nucleotide ribosomal RNA is filed under the name uncultured bacterium. RNAcentral's name for it is "partial 16S ribosomal RNA". It matches the Rfam family "Bacterial small subunit ribosomal RNA", at positions 523 to 769 of the family's 1533-position model. The record is from RNAcentral.
AUACGGAGGGUGCAAGCAUUAAUCGGAUUUAUUGGGCGUAAAGGGCGCGUAGGCGGCGUGAUAAGUCAGAUGUGAAAUCCCGGAGCUCAACUUCGGAACGGCAUUUGAAACUAUCACACUAGAGGGUAGGCGGAGAAAACGGAAUUCCACAAGUAGCGGUGAAAUGCGUAGAUAUGUGGAAGAACACCGGUGGCGAAGGCGGUUUUCUAGCUUAUUCCUGACGCUGAGGCGCGAAAGCAAGGGGAUC